AACGAACGCUGGCGGCAGGCUUAACACAUGCAAGUCGAGCGCCCCGCAAGGGGAGCGGCAGACGGGUGAGUAACGCGUGGGAACGUACCUUUUGGUUCGGAACAACUCCGGGAUACUGGAGCUAAUACCGGAUAAGCCCUAACGGGGUAAGAUUUAUCGCCGAAAGAUCGGCCCGCGUCUGAUUAGCUAGUUGGUGAGGUAACGGCUCACCAAGGCGACGAUCAGUAGCUGGUCUGAGAGGAUGAUCAGCCACACUGGGAUUGAGACACGGCCCAGACUCCUACGGGAGGCAGCAGCGGGGAAUAUUGGACAAUGGGCGCAAGCCUGAUCCAGCCAUGCCGCGUGAGUGAUGAAGGCCUUAGGGUUGUAAAGCUCUUUUGUCCGGGAAGAUAAUGACUGUACCGGAAGAAUAAGCCCCGGCUAACUUCGUG
This 431-nucleotide ribosomal RNA is filed under the name uncultured bacterium. Its description in RNAcentral is "partial 16S ribosomal RNA". It matches the Rfam family "Bacterial small subunit ribosomal RNA", at positions 29 to 507 of the family's 1533-position model. The record is from RNAcentral.